Molecule: small nucleolar RNA, 92 nt
Organism: Crotalus tigris (Tiger rattlesnake)
Lineage: Eukaryota; Metazoa; Chordata; Lepidosauria; Squamata; Viperidae
Source: RefSeq, a predicted model, not a curated record
UUCUUCCAAUGAUGUUAGCACUGGGCACAGACUGCUGUGAUGAUAACCGUGCCCCCCCCUUGCCUUUGACAUCUUGGGGGACUGAGGAACAG